GCUGAAGUAGCUCAGCUGGGAGAGCGUUAGACUGAAGAUCUAAAGGUCCCUGGUUCGAUCCCGGGCUUCAGCA
This 73-nucleotide transfer RNA is filed under the name Anser cygnoides (Swan goose). It matches the Rfam family "tRNA". From Rfam's summary of the family: Transfer RNA (tRNA) molecules are approximately 80 nucleotides in length. Their secondary structure includes four short double-helical elements and three loops (D, anti-codon, and T loops). The record is from Rfam by way of RNAcentral. Lineage: Eukaryota; Metazoa; Chordata; Aves; Anseriformes; Anatidae. RNAcentral also lists the same sequence under 5 other names.